This 72-nucleotide transfer RNA is filed under the name Candidatus Pacearchaeota archaeon. RNAcentral describes it as "tRNA-Ala". It matches the Rfam family "tRNA". From Rfam's summary of the family: Transfer RNA (tRNA) molecules are approximately 80 nucleotides in length. Their secondary structure includes four short double-helical elements and three loops (D, anti-codon, and T loops). The record is from RNAcentral. Lineage: Archaea; Nanobdellati.
GGGCCUGUUGUCCAAUGGCUAAGAUACCUCGCUUGCACCGAGGAGACCCGUGUUCAACUCACGGCAGGUCCA